AAACUUAAUAGUUUCUUAAGUGCCUCUAUAAAUAUUUAUAGGAUAAUAGGGAAGUUGGGUGAAGAUCCCACGCGGUACCGCCACUGUAAACGAGGAGUUAUGUCAUAAUAUACCACUGGAAAUAUAUUCUGGGAAGGUUGAUAUUAAUGAUGAUACGUAAGCCAGAAGACCUGCUUAAGAACGUGAAUUCUA
This 192-nucleotide non-coding RNA is filed under the name Clostridium cellulovorans. RNAcentral also lists the same sequence under 1 other name. The record is from RNAcentral. Lineage: Bacteria; Bacillati; Bacillota; Clostridia; Eubacteriales; Clostridiaceae.